AACGAACGCUGGCGGCAUGCCUAACACAUGCAAGUCGAACGAGACCUUCGGGUCUAGUGGCGCACGGGUGCGUAACGCGUGGGAACCUGCCCUUAGGUUCGGAAUAACUCAGAGAAAUUUGAGCUAAUACCGGAUAAUGUCUUCGGACCAAAGAUUUAUCGCCUUUGGAUGGGCCCGCGUAGGAUUAGCUUGUUGGUGGGGUAAUGGCCUACCAAGGCGACGAUCCUUAGCUGGUCUGAGAGGAUGAUCAGCCACACUGGGACUGAGACACGGCCCAGACUCCUACGGGAGGCAGCAGUGGGGAAUAUUGGACAAUGGGCGGAAGCCUGAUCCAGCAAUGCCGCGUGAGUGAUGAAGGCCUUAGGGUUGUAAAGCUCUUUUACCAGGGAUGAUAAUGACAGUACCUGGAGAAUAAGCUCCGGCUAACUCCGUG
Molecule: ribosomal RNA, 433 nt
Filed under: uncultured bacterium
Lineage: Bacteria
Description: partial 16S ribosomal RNA
Rfam family: Bacterial small subunit ribosomal RNA
Source: RNAcentral